UACGGAGGGUGCGAGCGUUGUCCGGAAUCAUUGGGCGUAAAGGGCGCGUAGGUGGCCUGCUAAGCGUGCGGUGAAAGCUCGGGGCUCAACCCCGAGUCGGCCGUGCGAACUGGUGGGCUUGAGCACUGUAGAGGCAGGCGGAAUUCCGGGUGUAGCGGUGGAAUGCGUAGAGAUCCGGAAGAACACCGGUGGCGAAGGCGGCCGUGCUGGGCAGUGAGCUGGACACUGAGGCGCGACAGCGUGGGGAGCAAACAGG
Molecule: ribosomal RNA, 256 nt
Filed under: uncultured bacterium
Lineage: Bacteria
Description: partial 16S ribosomal RNA
Rfam family: Bacterial small subunit ribosomal RNA
Source: RNAcentral